This 301-nucleotide ribosomal RNA is filed under the name uncultured bacterium. RNAcentral's name for it is "partial 16S ribosomal RNA". It matches the Rfam family "Bacterial small subunit ribosomal RNA", at positions 509 to 809 of the family's 1533-position model. The record is from RNAcentral.
CAGUAGCCACGGUAAAACGAAGGGUGCAAGCGUUAAUCGGAAUUACUGGGCGUAAAGCGUGCGUAGGCGGUUUGUUAAGUCUGCUGUGAAAUCCCCGGGCUCAACCUGGGAAUGGCAGUGGAUACUGGCAAGCUAGAGUGUGUCAGAGGAUGGUGGAAUUCCCGGUGUAGCGGUGAAAUGCGUAGAGAUCGGGAGGAACAUCAGUGGCGAAGGCGGCCAUCUGGGACAACACUGACGCUGAGGCACGAAAGCGUGGGGAGCAAGCAGGAUUAGAUACCCCUGUAGUCCCUGUCUCUUAUAA